UACGGAGGUCCCGAGCGUUGUCCGGAUUUAUUGGGCGUAAAGCGAGCGCAGGUGGUUUAUUAAGUCUGGCGUAAAAGGCAGUGGCUCAACCAUUGUAUGCAUUGGAAACUGGUAGACUUGAGUGCAGGAGAGGAGAGUGGAAUUCCAUGUGUAGCGGUGAAAUGCGUAGAUAUAUGGAGGAACACCGGUGGCGAAAGCGGCUCUCUGGCCUGUAACUGACACUGAGGCUCGAAAGCGUGGGGAGCAAACAGG
RNAcentral lists this ribosomal RNA (252 nucleotides) under uncultured bacterium. RNAcentral describes it as "partial 16S ribosomal RNA". It matches the Rfam family "Bacterial small subunit ribosomal RNA", at positions 524 to 776 of the family's 1533-position model. The record is from RNAcentral.